AGCAGCCGCGGUAAUUCCAGCUCCAAUAGCGUAUAUUAAAGUUGUUGCAGUUAAAAAGCUCGUAGUUGAAUUUCGGGAUCAAUAUGUUGGUCGUGCCUUGGUACGUACUGGCAUUAUCGAUUCCUACCUUCUGAAGAACCUCGAUGUCAUUAAUUUGGUGUCUUGGGGAAUCAGGACUGUUACUUUGAAAAAAUUAGAGUGUUUAAAGCAGGCUCGCGCUUGAAUACAUUAGCAUGGAAUAAUGAAAUAGGACGUUUGAUUCUAUUUUGUUGGUUUCUAGGAUCGACGUAAUGAUUAAUAGGGAUAGUUGGGGGCAUUAGUAUUCAAUUGUCAGAGGUGAAAUUCUUGGAUUUAUUGAAGACUAACUACUGCGAAAGCAUUUGCCAAGGAUGUUUUCAUUAAUCAAGAACGAAAGUUAGGGGAUCGAAGACGAUCAGAUACCAUCGUAGU
RNAcentral lists this ribosomal RNA (450 nucleotides) under uncultured Glomeromycotina. Its description in RNAcentral is "SSU rRNA". It matches the Rfam family "Eukaryotic small subunit ribosomal RNA", at positions 569 to 1024 of the family's 1831-position model. Lineage: Eukaryota; Fungi; Glomeromycota. The record is from RNAcentral.